RNAcentral lists this ribosomal RNA (838 nucleotides) under uncultured bacterium. RNAcentral's name for it is "SSU rRNA". It matches the Rfam family "Bacterial small subunit ribosomal RNA", at positions 524 to 1381 of the family's 1533-position model. The record is from RNAcentral.
UACGGAGGGGGUUAGCGUUAGUUCGGAAUUACUGGGCGUAAAGCGCGCGUAGGCGGAUUAGUUAAAGUUAGAGGUGAAAUCCCGGGGCUCAACCCGGGAACUGCCUUUAAAACUCCCAGUCUAGAGUUCGAGAGAGGUGAGUGGAAUUCCAAGUGUAGAGGUGAAAUGCGUAGAUAUUGGGAGGAACACCAGUGGCGAAGGCGGCUCACUGGCUCGAUACUGACGCUGAGGUGCGAAAGUGUGGGGAGCAAACAGGAUUAGAUACCCUGGUAGUCCACACCGUAAACGAUGAAUGCCAGUCGUCGGAUAGUAUAGUAUUCGGUGACACACCUAACGGAUUAAGCAUUCCGCCUGGGGAGUACGGUCGCAAGAUUAAAACUCAAAGGAAUUGACGGGGGACCGCACAAGCGGUGGAACAUGGGGUUUAAUUCGAAGGAACGCGCAAAACCUUACCAUCCCUUGACAUCCUGUGCUACCUCCAGAGAUGAAUGAGUGCCUUCGGGAACGCAGUGACAGGUGCUGCAUGGCUGUCGUCAGCUCGUGUCGUGAGAUGUUCGGUUAAGUCCGGCAACGAGCGCAACCCUUAUCCUUAUUUGCCAGCAGUUCGGCUGGGCUCUCUAUGGAAACUGCCCGUGAUAAGCCGGAGGAGGGUGUGGAUGACGUCAAGUCCUCAUGGCCCUUUCCGGUUGGAAUACCCGCGUGCUACCAAGGCGGGGACAAUAGGUUAAUCUCCAAAAACCCAUCUCAGUUCGGAUUGCGGUCUGCAACUCGACCCCAUGAAGUCGGAAUCGCUAGUAAUCGCGUAUCAGCACGACGCGGUGAAUACGUUCUCGGGUCU